AAACAGGUUAAUAUUCCUGUACUUGGUGUUACUGCGAAGGGGGGACGGAGAAGGCUAUGUUGGCCGGGCGACGGUUGUCCCGGUUUAAGCGUGUAGGCUGGUUUUCCAGGCAAAUCCGGAAAACCAAGGCUGAGGCGUGAUGACGAGGCACUACGGUGCUGAAGCGACAAAUGCCCUGCUUCCAGGAAAAGCCUCUAAGCAUCAGGUAACAUCAAAUCGUACCCCAAACCGACACAGGUGGUCAGGUAGAGAAUACCAAGGCGCUUGAGAGAACUCGGGUGAAGGAACUAGGCAAAAUGGUGCCGUAACUUCGGGAGAAGGCACGCUGAUAUGUAGGUGAAGCGACUUGCUCGUGGAGCUGAAAUCAGUCGAAGAUACCAGCUGGCUGCAACUGUUUAUUAAAAACACAGCACUGUGCAAACACGAAAGUGGACGUAUACGGUGUGACGCCUGCCCGGUGCCGGAAGGUUAAUUGAUGGGGUUAGCGGCAACGCGAAGCUCUUGAUCGAAGCCCCGGUAAACGGCGGCCGUAACUAUAACGGUCCUAAGGUAGCGAAAUUCCUUGUCGGGUAAGUUCCGACCUGCACGAAUGGCGUAAUGAUGGCCAGGCUGUCUCCACCCGAGACUCAGUGAAAUUGAACUCGCUGUGAAGAUGCAGUGUACCCGCGGCAAGACGGAAAGACCCCGUGAACCUUUACUAUAGCUUGACACUGAACAUUGAGCCUUGAUGUGUAGGAUAGGUGGGAGGCUUUGAAGUGUGGACGCCAGUCUGCAUGGAGCCGACCUUGAAAUACCACCCUUUAAUGUUUGAUGUUCUAACGUUGGCCCGUAAUCCGGGUUGCGGACAGUGUCUGGUGGGUAGUUUGACUGGGGCGGUCUCCUCCUAAAGAGUAACGGAGGAGCACGAAGGUUGGCUAAUCCUGGUCGGACAUCAGGAGGUUAGUGCAAUGGCAUAAGCCAGCUUGACUGCGAGCGUGACGGCGCGAGCAGGUGCGAAAGCAGGUCAUAGUGAUCCGGUGGUUCUGAAUGGAAGGGCCAUCGCUCAACGGAUAAAAGGUACUCCGGGGAUAACAGGCUGAUACCGCCCAAGAGUUCAUAUCGACGGCGGUGUUUGGCACCUCGAUGUCGGCUCAUCACAUCCUGGGGCUGAAGUAGGUCCCAAGGGUAUGGCUGUUCGCCAUUUAAAGUGGUACGCGAGCUGGGUUUAGAACGUCGUGAGACAGUUCGGUCCCUAUCUGCCGUGGGCGCUGGAGAACUGAGGGGGGCUGCUCCUAGUACGAGAGGACCGGAGUGGACGCAUCACUGGUGUUCGGGUUGUCAUGCCAAUGGCACUGCCCGGUAGCUAAAUGCGGAAGAGAUAAGUGCUGAAAGCAU
Molecule: ribosomal RNA, 1374 nt
Filed under: Escherichia coli
Lineage: Bacteria; Pseudomonadati; Pseudomonadota; Gammaproteobacteria; Enterobacterales; Enterobacteriaceae
Description: partial 23S ribosomal RNA
Rfam family: Bacterial large subunit ribosomal RNA
Source: RNAcentral